RNAcentral lists this ribosomal RNA (2711 nucleotides) under Clostridioides difficile P33. RNAcentral's name for it is "bacterial LSU rRNA". It matches the Rfam family "Bacterial large subunit ribosomal RNA". The record is from RNAcentral. Lineage: Bacteria; Bacillati; Bacillota; Clostridia; Peptostreptococcales; Peptostreptococcaceae.
UCAGGGAACUGAAACAUCUAAGUACCUGAAGGAAGAGAAAGAAAUUCGAUUCCGUAAGUAGCGGCGAGCGAACGCGGAUUAGCCCAAACCAAUAAAGUUUUCUUUAUUGGGGUUGCGGACAUAUCAUAACGAAGAGGUAUCGUAAUUGAAGAGGUUUGGAAAGACCCACCACAGAAGGUAAUAGUCCUGUAUGUUAAACGAGAAGACUUUAGAUAUGAUCCAGAGUACCACGGGACACGUGAAACCCUGUGGGAAGCAGGAGGGACCACCCUCCAAGGCUAAAUACUACCUAGUGACCGAUAGCGUAUAGUACCGUGAGGGAAAGGUGAAAAGAACCCCGGGAGGGGAGUGAAAUAGAACCUGAAACCCUGCACUUACAAGCUGUGGAAGCACAUUUCUUGUGUGACCGCGUACUUUUUGUAGAACGGGCCAACGAGUUACGUUAAGUAGCAAGGUUAAGCACUUAAGGUGCGGAGCCGUAGCGAAAGCGAGUUUUAACUGAGCGUUCAGUUACUUGACGUAGACCCGAAACCGGGCGACCUACCCAUGAGCAGGAUGAAGCGAAAGUAAAAUUUCGUGGAGGUCCGAACCCACGAGCGUUGAAAAGCUCGGGGAUGACUUGUGGGUAGCGGUGAAAUUCCAAUCGAGCCCGGAGAUAGCUGGUUCUCCCCGAAAUAGCUUUAGGGCUAGCCUCAAGGUGAGAGAUACGGAGGUAGAGCACUGAAUGUCCUAGGGGGUAUUGCACCUACCGAAGACUAUCAAACUCCGAAUGCCGUCAUCUUAUACUUGGGAGUCAGACUGUGGGUGAUAAGAUUCAUAGUCGAAAGGGCAACAGCCCAGAUCGUCAGCUAAGGUCCCUAAAUGUAAGUUAAGUGGUAAAGGAUGUGGGAUUGCACAGACAACCAGGAUGUUGGCUUAGAAGCAGCCACUCAUUCAAAGAGUGCGUAAUAGCUCACUGGUCGAGUGAUCCUGCGCCGAAGAUUUCCGGGGCUAAAACUUACUACCGAAGCUACGGCAUCAGUAAUGAUGGGUAGGGGAGCUUCCCAUACGGGUUGAAGCAUGACCGUAAGGACAUGUGGACAGUAUGGGAGUGAGAAUGUUGGCAUGAGUAGCGAGAUGUGGGUGGAAUCCCACAGGCCGUAAACCCAAGGUUUCCAGGGGAAGGUUCGUCCGCCCUGGGUUAGUCGGGACCUAAGCUGAGGCCGAAAGGCGUAGGUGAUGGACAACAGGUUGAUAUUCCUGUACUACCGAUAACCGUUUGAGAGAAGGGAUGACACAGUAGGAUAAGCUAAGCACACUGUUGGUUAUGUGUGCCCAAGCAUUGAGGCAGUCAAAGUAGGCAAAUCCGCUUUGAUAAUGCUGGGAUGUGAUGGGGAGCGAAAUUUAGUAGCGAAGUAGCUGAUUUCACACUGUCAAGAAAAGUCUCUAUCGAGGUUAAAGGUACCCGUACCGCAAACCGACACAGGUGGGUGAGGAGAGUAUCCUAAGGCCAGCGAGAGAACUGUUGUUAAGGAACUCGGCAAAAUGACCCCGUAACUUAGGGAUAAGGGGUGCCACCAUCAGGUGGCCGCAGAGAAUAGGCCCAAGCGACUGUUUACCAAAAACAUAGGUUUCUGCUAAGUCGCAAGACGAUGUAUAGGAGCUGACGCCUGCCCGGUGCUGGAAGGUUAAGGGGAUCUGUUAGAGCAAUCGAAGCAGUGAACUUAAGCCCCAGUAAACGGCGGCCGUAACUAUAACGGUCCUAAGGUAGCGAAAUUCCUUGUCGGGUAAGUUCCGACCCGCACGAAAGGCGUAACGAUUUGGGCACUGUCUCAACAACAGACUCGGUGAAAUUGUAAUUCCGGUGAAGAUGCCGGAUACCUGCGACAGGACGGAAAGACCCCAUGGAGCUUUACUGUAGCUUGACAUUGGGUCUUGGUACUACAUGUACAGGAUAGGUGGGAGGCUUUGAAACCAGGACGCCAGUUUUGGCGGAGCCAUCCUUGGGAUACCACCCUUGUAGUACUGGGACUCUAACCAUAGGCCAUGAAUCUGGUCUUGGGACACUGUCAGGUGGGCAGUUUGACUGGGGCGGUCGCCUCCCAAAAGGUAACGGAGGCGCUCAAAGGUUCUCUCAGUACGGUCGGAAAUCGUACGUAGAGUGUAAAGGCAAAAGAGAGCUUGAUUGCAAGACAUACAGGUCGAGCAAGGAUGAAAAUCGGACUUAGUGAUCCGGUGGUUCUGCGUGGAAGGGCCAUCGCUCAACGGAUAAAAGCUACCCUGGGGAUAACAGGCUUAUCUCCCCCAAGAGUCCACAUCGACGGGGAGGUUUGGCACCUCGAUGUCGGCUCAUCACAUCCUGGGGCUGUAGUAGGUCCCAAGGGUUGGGCUGUUCGCCCAUUAAAGUGGUACGCGAGCUGGGUUCAGAACGUCGUGAGACAGUUCGGUCCCUAUCCGUCGCAGGCGUAGGAAAUUUGAGAAGACCUGUCCUUAGUACGAGAGGACCGGGAUGGACGUACCUCUGGUGUACCAGUUGUCUGCCAAGGGCAUGGCUGGGUAGCUAUGUACGGAAUGGAUAAGCGCUGAAAGCAUCUAAGCGCGAAGCCAACUUCAAGAUAAGAUUUCCCACCGCAAGGGUAAGACCCCAGAAAGACUAUCUGGUUGAUAGGUCGAAGGUGUAAGUGCAGCAAUGUAUUUAGCUUAUCGAUACUAAUAGGUCGAGGACUUGACCA